Long non-coding RNA from Zingiber officinale, 600 nucleotides. RefSeq lists it as uncharacterized. The record is from RefSeq and is a predicted model, not a curated record. The transcript is spliced from 2 exons. Lineage: Eukaryota; Viridiplantae; Streptophyta; Magnoliopsida; Zingiberales; Zingiberaceae.
AGACCUAGGUAUUUAUUCCUAUACCUUUCGCCCGAUUCCUGUUGGUUUCCCCCGAAUCGCCGUUCCACCUCUCCUCUUCACCUUCGCUGGUGUCGAUCGGCUCUCCACCGAGCUCAGGUUCUCGAUCAAGCACCACACCAUCUCGGCGAGCUCGCGGGGGAGUUGCGAGCGGACGUGAAGUCCUUUGACCACCACACCGGCGGCACAGCUACAUCUAGGGCGAGGGCUCCGACAGAGGAAUGAGGAAAGGAAGGCAAGUUCAUUCCCUUUUGAUUGUACGAGAUCUGUGAGGUGAGGUUGUCUCCAGGAUAUGACGGAAGGCCCUCGGACGGAGUAGACGAGGAAAUGAGAUGGAGGCAUGACACACUGUCCGAGCGUUAAAUUUAGAGUGCUGAGCCUUUUAUUGUACGAGGAGUUGUAUUGGUGUGUCCCCCUUCUUUCGUUAAUGUUUUGUUGGUAAUGAUACCGGUUACGUUGGGUAUUAUGGUUCUUUAUGAUGGAUUUUCUAUUCUGGUUAUAUUACAAUAAAGGUUUAGAGGAAUGUCAUAAGUUGCUUAUGGAUAUAUAUAAAUAUAUAUAUAAAAAAAACUUGAGGGAUAA